Molecule: long non-coding RNA, 225 nt
Filed under: Hordeum vulgare
Lineage: Eukaryota; Viridiplantae; Streptophyta; Magnoliopsida; Poales; Poaceae
Description: long non-coding RNA (HVUL_LNC000124)
Source: RNAcentral
AUGACUAAAAGUAAUGAGACUAAAACUUGCUAGCCUCACCCAUGCUUGGAUCCAAAUACUAAAAAGACUAAAAUCAAGUUAAUGAGCAUUUAUUAUCUUCCAAACCCUCCAAUCCAGAACUUGCAUGAGGAGUUAAAUGAGGAGAGAGAGGACUAAUGCACAUUUUAGUAGGGGUACCCCUGACUAAAAGAUUUUAGCCUCAAGACUAGUUUUAGCCUCUCUUUA